UCACUCACCCACUAUUAUAGACAUCCACAGAAUAACAAUCCUUUCAUAAAACAAUCACGUUUUUUACCACCUCUACAUCACUGUUCUCCACUGAAAGUCUCUGACCUCAGAUCCAUGGACAGAUCUAGGAGUUUGAAAAGAAAGAAAUAUUGGUGUUGAAAUGGACAGAACAACUCGUUCUUCAUACAUGUAGCCAAGAAGCUGCACCUGUUUCUUUAAAGAUGUCCUAUUUGGUAUAGCCUCUGUCACCUUGACACUGAAUAACUGCAAUGUGAUCUGAAUGGGACUAUACAUUUACGCAGAAACUGAAGCUGAUACAGACUUUAUCCUCUCAUGCAUGUAGCUGAAGUAUGUGAAAGGGGAAGAGACGAGACAAAG
This is a long non-coding RNA of Alligator sinensis (Chinese alligator), 378 nucleotides long. RefSeq lists it as uncharacterized. The record is from RefSeq and is a predicted model, not a curated record. NCBI's taxonomy places the organism in Eukaryota, Metazoa, Chordata, Crocodylia, Alligatoridae. The transcript has 3 exons.